AUAGCAAAUAAUUUAAUUUAUAUAGUAUAAAAUUUAACUAGAAAUAAUGUAUGCAUUAAUUAUAACAAGUUUUUUGGAAAAAUUUACGCCAGACAAAAAAAGCAACUAAGCAAAGAGAUAGUGGGUCUAAAGCUGCGAAUUAAUUCUUAUAGAAUUUGUAAAGCUUGAGAAUGUAUGUAAUGCUGACAGCCAACCGAGGUUGGGUCUCGUGAAAUUAUGAUUUGUAAAUUUUCUUUUCAUUUUGGCAUUUGGCUAACUUUUGAGACACGCCUCGUGUGCGGCAUGUAUGGCUAUUGCCGCCACAGUUUGGCAGGCUUACAACUACAAUAAUGUCAAACGAAGUUGGCGACGGCAGCAAAAAGCAACACUAACAAAAAAAAAAACAGCAAAAAAAACAUACAACAACAAGCAAACGUGGGCGCAUUAAAACUGGAAGCGGCUGUGACUCCGACCCCAACCAGAUCCCAACCUUGCAGUAUUCUCUGGUGUUUUCUAUCUCUUUCUGUCGCUCUUGCUUUCUCUAGCUACCCGUGGUUUGUUUGAGUUUCAGUUCAAUUUGUUUCGAGUGUGCACUUGUCUGUGUGUGUUUGUGCGUGUGCUUGUGUUGGUGUUGCGCCUUAUCCGACUUUUCGCCUAGUUUGGCGGUGCCGCUGCCUUUGUAAUGCCGCCAAAUCGUCACCCCAAUUUGUUGUAAUAAACGCCAAUAUGUCAUGUGGUUUA
This is a long non-coding RNA of Drosophila virilis, 720 nucleotides long. RefSeq lists it as uncharacterized. NCBI's taxonomy places the organism in Eukaryota, Metazoa, Arthropoda, Insecta, Diptera, Drosophilidae. The record is from RefSeq and is a predicted model, not a curated record.